GACGAACGCUGGCGGCGUGCCUAAUACAUGCAAGUCGAACGCACUCUCGUUUAGAUUGAAGGAGCUUGCUCCUGAUUGAUAAACAUUUGAGUGAGUGGCGGACGGGUGAGUAACACGUGGGUAACCUGCCCUAAAGUGGGGGAUAACAUUUGGAAACAGAUGCUAAUACCGCAUAAAACCUAACACCGCAUGGUGUAGGGUUGAAAGAUGGUUUCGGCUAUCACUUUAGGAUGGACCCGCGGCGCAUUAGUUAGUUGGUGAGGUAAAGGCUCACCAAGACCGUGAUGCAUAGCCGACCUGAGAGGGUAAUCGGCCACACUGGGACUGAGACACGGCCCAGACUCCUACGGGAGGCAGCAGUAGGGAAUCUUUCCACAAUGGACGAAAGUCUGAUGGAGCAACGCCGCGUGAGUGAAGAAGGUUUCGGAUCGUAAAACUCUAGUUGUUGGAGAAGAAUGUAUCUGAUAGUAACUGAUCAGGUAGUGACGGUAUCCAACC
RNAcentral lists this ribosomal RNA (498 nucleotides) under uncultured bacterium. RNAcentral describes it as "bacterial SSU rRNA". It matches the Rfam family "Bacterial small subunit ribosomal RNA", at positions 28 to 484 of the family's 1533-position model. The record is from RNAcentral.